UGCCAGACUCCUACGGGAGGCAGCAGUGGGGAAUAUUGGGCAAUGGGCGAAAGCCUGACCCAGCAAUGCCGCGUGAAUGAAGAAGGUCUUAGGAUUGUAAAAUUCUGUCCUAUGGGAAGAAACAAAUGACGGUACCAUAGGAGGAAGCCCCGGCUAACUACGUGCCAGCAGCCGCGGUAAUACGUAGGGGGCGAGCGUUAUCCGGAUUCACUGGGUGUAAAGGGAGCGUAGACGGCCAUGCAAGCCAGGGGUGAAAGCCCGGGGCCCAACCCCGGGACUGCCCUUGGAACUGCAUGGCUGGAGUGCGGGAGGGGCAGGCGGAAUUCCUGGUGUAGCGGUGAAAUGCGUAGAUAUCAGGAGGAACACCGGCGGCGAAGGCGGCCUGCUGGACCGCGACUGACGUUGAGGCUCGAAAGCGUGGGGAGCGAACAGGAUUAGAUACCCCCGUAC
RNAcentral lists this ribosomal RNA (450 nucleotides) under uncultured bacterium. Its description in RNAcentral is "bacterial SSU rRNA". It matches the Rfam family "Bacterial small subunit ribosomal RNA", at positions 329 to 793 of the family's 1533-position model. The record is from RNAcentral.